ACCUUUGGAUCGAGUUUGCAUGC
Molecule: non-coding RNA, 23 nt
Filed under: Arabidopsis thaliana (thale cress)
Lineage: Eukaryota; Viridiplantae; Streptophyta; Magnoliopsida; Brassicales; Brassicaceae
Source: RNAcentral